Arachis duranensis is the source of this 1222-nucleotide long non-coding RNA. RefSeq lists it as uncharacterized. The transcript is spliced from 5 exons. NCBI's taxonomy places the organism in Eukaryota, Viridiplantae, Streptophyta, Magnoliopsida, Fabales, Fabaceae. The record is from RefSeq and is a predicted model, not a curated record.
GGAAAUUCUAAACUGAUUUAUGAAAACAGGGCAUUACUUCCAAUGGAGAAUUAAUUAAUCAAAUGAAGUGAUAUGAACUUAAAACUUGUUUGUUUUGAAACUUAGGAAAGUUGAGUGUAAUCUACCCAAAAUUUAGAAGCAGCGGAUUAGAAUUGAAAUUAUUAUGGAUUUUAUAAAAACGCUGCUGCUUGCUGUUUUUCUGAAUCUUUACAAGUGCAGUAGCAGAAUUUUAAAACCUUGUAUAAAAUUCAAUUCUGGUCCAAAUGUAGUAAAAUAUAAUUCAAAGUAAAGGUUAGGAUCUCUAGAGUUACUUUGAUAAGAGAGAUAGUCCGUGCGUAGGCUUUCACAACAUAAAAACCACAUAACAAGACAGCAAGGUGCUGUUCCUACAAACCUAGAAUAACAGUCUCGGUUUUUCCUCAAUAGCUGGAGAUAGACUGCCCAGAAAAAUAUGAUUUCUAGACCUUUAGAAACUUGAGUUUAAUACGAACAUGUGGACAUGAAAUUUGUGUGAGUCCGAGUCCGUUUGUGAUAUUAAUCGUUAGAUAGAAAACCGGUCGCCAAAAGGGUAUUAGGCUAAACAAGCUAAGAAAUGAAUAAGAAUGUACGAUAGAUGGUAUUCAUUUGGAUUGUUACAGGUGUAAUUUAUUUGCUAAGUACUAUAUUGCUAAUUUGUUUCAAUGAUUUCUCAGAAAUUCAAUGGGUUCAUGAGGAUAGAAUUACAUUGUUCACCGCUGAUGGACUGGUGCAGAUUGGAGGCUCCAUCACCCCUCGCCAUGUUAGCUCUUCAGAUGUAGUACCGAAGACUAUUGGAAAAGAUAGGAUGCUGCUCAAGUAAUGGCUCAGUUAGUAUGGGAAGGACUUGGACUCGGAGGAGGGACAGAUGUCCGAAACUGGGGCAGCCUGGUUUAUCAGGCUAUUUCAAUAGCAAAUAAUGCAUGCUGGGCUAUUGGAGAACUUGCAGUUAAGAUUUGAGUUAUUUUCUGUGGUCACCACAUUUUAAAGCAACAGCUCAAAGAAAAAGCGACAACUUUAAAAGAUGAACUUGGAGACAUGAAGGCCAAACAGUAGCAACAAGAGGAAGAGAUUCAUGGAUUGUGGAAUAUGGUUUAGUUAUUAGAAAAUACUUAUGUAAGAUAUAAUAUUUUAGUUUUUCGUAGAGUAUUAGUAGUAAAUUUUAAGUGGUCUCUUGCUUAUUUUGAUAUGACUAUGCUUAAUUUGG